This 419-nucleotide ribosomal RNA is filed under the name uncultured Verrucomicrobiota bacterium. RNAcentral's name for it is "bacterial SSU rRNA". It matches the Rfam family "Bacterial small subunit ribosomal RNA", at positions 70 to 485 of the family's 1533-position model. The record is from RNAcentral. Lineage: Bacteria; Pseudomonadati; Verrucomicrobiota.
CAUGAAUAGCUUGCUAAUUGUGUUUCUAGUGGCGGACGGGUUAGUAACACGUGAGCAACCUGCCUCGAAGUGGGGGAUAGCCACCCGAAAGGGUGAUUAAUACCGCAUGUGAUCUUCGGAUCAAAGGUGCCUUCGGGUAUCGCUUCGAGAUGGGCUCGCGGCCUAUCAGCUAGAUGGUGAGGUAACGGCUCACCAUGGCAACGACGGGUAGCUGUUCUGAGAGGAAGAUCAGCAACACUGGAACUGAGACACGGUCCAGACACCUACGGGUGGCAGCAGUCGAGAAUCAUUCACAAUGGGGGAAACCCUGAUGGUGCAACGCCGCGUGGAGGAUGAAGGCCCUAGGGUCGUAAACUCCUGUCAUAUGAGAGUAAGGCAUAAUAAGUUAAGAGCUAAUUAUGUUUGAUAGUAUCAUAAGA